Gavialis gangeticus (Gharial) is the source of this 710-nucleotide long non-coding RNA. RefSeq lists it as uncharacterized. The transcript is spliced from 3 exons. Lineage: Eukaryota; Metazoa; Chordata; Crocodylia; Gavialidae. The record is from RefSeq and is a predicted model, not a curated record.
GGAUGGUUCAAGGAGAGGGGGAGAUGCAGGUCACACUAGGCAGAGCCUUUACCUGCCACCCUAGGGAGCAAGCACUGUCAGAAGUCUGGAUCUAGGAACCACUGGGUUCCCUGCCGCAGAGAGCCCAGCAGCUCUUGCUUUUAGUGGCUGCUGAGACCAGUGGAAAGGAGGCAGGUCCCACCAUCUCCCACUGGAGGCCCAGAAAUGCCUCUCCACACCCAAAAAGAGAGAGAUGGGGGUGAUCCCCAUGGCUUGGCUCUAUUUGGGGGGGGGGUCAGCAAGAGUUGGCAGUGGGUUUUCCCUGUCCCAGGGGGAGAAUGCCUGGGCUUCAGCCCUUGCUAGUCAGCACAGAGCAGCGCAGAUUCUCACCGUGGCAACUUUAUUACAAGUACAGACAUCAAAAGUGACAGCAAGGCCCAAUAGCCCCUUCCGCGACUCGGCCAAAAAGAAAGAUGCAGCGACGCGAGAAUCAUUUAUUCGAUACAGUCCCCCCACCCCACCCCAAGCUUUAGUCUUCGGGCAGCAAGGCAAACAGGCUAAUAAAAGCAACAGCUAGGACUAUAUAAAUCGAGAAGGAAUUAAAAGACAGAUCACUAGGCUCCAGGACUGGUUAGAAUACUUUGUUUGAGUGUCUCUUGACUCACUGAAGCUCACCAGCAAGAGAGAGAGACAGAAAGAGAGAACCACUCCAUUCUAAAAAAAAAAAAAAA